This is an RNA transcript of Cataglyphis hispanica, 8835 nucleotides long. It is a transcript of the gene named F-actin-monooxygenase Mical, with no coding region annotated. The transcript is spliced from 28 exons. NCBI's taxonomy places the organism in Eukaryota, Metazoa, Arthropoda, Insecta, Hymenoptera, Formicidae. The record is from RefSeq and is a predicted model, not a curated record.
AGUGGCCCUCUUACAGUCUCAGCAGCAUUCAGUAUGUGUCAGUCGAACUGAUAUUAUAAAAGGAAAUGGACGAUGAUAGUGGGUGUGUAGUGCUCAUUUAUGCGGUGAGUUGCAUGCAAUCAUCAAUCGAAAUAGAACGAUCAGCAUCAUGUGAAUGAUAAUAUUCCAUCGGUAUUCCCAUGGUGCGUGAAUGUUACACUCGUCCACCCUGCUCUACGACCCCGUUCUUCAAUCCCCCUUGUCAUGUGUGUCUUGUGCGAGCCAUAAAAAGGAAGAGAUCCCGCUCUGCAAAAUCGCUGCGAGAGAGCACAGUCUUAAUACCAUCAGUCAUACAAUUAUACGCAGCGUGACGCAGCCUUUCAUAUACGUAAUGAAGAACUAAUGAACUAUCACGAAACUGAAAGCCAAAGACGAUGGAUCCAGUCAAUAAGAAACAGGUGGUCAACUCACCGGAAGUGGCGUUGGCCAGCGAGGUGUUUGAUCAGUUUUGCAAUGCCACUACGUUGAAAUCUAUUCUUGGCCACUACAGACAAUUGUGCGAAUUGCUAAAAGUUCGACCGAACAACAUUAAUCAGUUUUAUCCAAAAUUGAAGGCGAAGCUACGAUCAUGGAAGGCACAAGCGCUAUGGAAGAAGUUUGAUCAACGGGCUAAUCACAAAUGUUAUAAUCGUAGUAAAGCAUGCCCGAACACAAGAGUUUUGAUAAUCGGCGGAGGCCCAUGUGGCUUACGCACAGCCAUAGAGGCACAGUUGUUGGGAGCCAAAGUCGUGGUAAUAGAGAAAAGGGACCGGAUGUCUAGGAACAACGUUUUGCAUUUGUGGCCUUUUGUUAUCCAGGAUCUACGAAGUUUAGGAGCGAAAAAGUUCUUUGGAAAAUUUUGUGCGGGUUCCAUCGAUCAUAUAAGCAUUCGGCAAUUGCAAUGUAUUUUACUUAAGGUUGCUCUGAUUCUCGGCGUCGAGUUCCAUGAAAGCGUAAGCUUUGAUUCCUUGAUUGAACCACCUGAAAAUCAAGAGGACGGCAAAAUUGGUUGGGGAGCAAAAACGUUACCAGUGGAUCAUCCUGUCUCUCAAUAUGAGUUUGACGUGCUAAUCGGAGCUGAUGGCAAAAGAAAUACUUUAGAAGGUUUUAAACGAAAAGAAUUUCGAGGAAAAUUAGCCAUUGCAAUCACUGCGAAUUUCAUAAAUAAGCGAACCGAGGCAGAAGCUCGAGUUGAAGAGAUCAGUGGUGUUGCCUUUAUUUUUAAUCAAAAGUUUUUUAAAGAAUUAUAUCAAGAUACGGGAAUCGACUUGGAAAAUAUCGUAUAUUAUAAAGACGACACACAUUAUUUCGUUAUGACUGCUAAGAAACAUAGUUUAAUCGACAAAGGAGUUAUUCUGCAGGAUCAUGCUGAUACUGCAAAAUUACUCGCGAAAGAGAACGUAGAUCGUGAGGCAUUAAUGCUGUAUGCGCGGGAAGCGGCGGAAUUCUCGACGGAAUAUCAAAUGAUGAACAUGGAAUUUGCGGUGAAUCAUUAUGGCCAACCGGACGUAGCCAUGUUUGACUUUACUUCAAUGUAUGCAGCAGAAAAUGCGAGUCGUGUAUUGAAGCGUCAUGGACACAAUUUACUUAUGAUCCUUGUAGGCGACAGCCUUUUGGAGCCAUUUUGGCCUACUGGCUCUGGUUGCGCAAGAGGAUUCUUGAGCUCUCUGGAUGCUGGUUGGGCAAUCAAGGGUUGGGGCGCUUCAUUUUCACCAUUGGAAGUAAUCGCUGAGCGCGAAUCAAUAUACAGAUUGUUAGGACAGACGACACCGGAGAAUUUGAAUAGGGAUUACGCCGCGUACACCCUUGAUCCUCACACUAGGUAUCCGAAUCUGAAUAUACGUUCCGUGAUCCCGAUACAAGUGCGCAGUCUUCUUGAUACAGAUGAUCCAGAAAGCAUCAAACAACCUGUGGUUCAAUCUGAGAUCGAUAUUCCAAAGAAACGAAGACGACGCGAUCUAAGAGUAGAGGCUCAGAUUCAUCCAGACACAUUGCUUCGUUGGCUACAAAAGCAAGUUGCAUUGUAUGAUAAAAUUCACAUUGAAGAUAUGGGUGCCUCCUUCAAAGACGGUUUAGCCAUUUGUGCAAUUAUUCAUAGAUACCGUCCAGAUCUAAUAAAUUUUUAUAGCUUAAACGCGGAAGAUGUAGUGAAGAACAAUCAACUCGCCUUCGAUACAUUGGAAAAGGAAUUGAAUAUAUCGCCGAUAAUGACAGGAGAAGAAAUGGCUCAAUGUGAUGUUCCUGAUACACUUACUAUGUUUUCUUAUUUAACACAAAUAUAUGAAGCUUUCAAAGGCGAUAUUCCGUACAUCAAGCAUCCAAAAUUAGAAGCAGAAACAGAAGAAUGCAGCGCACAUCCAAAACAACUGAAACAAUUAACACCCGAGGAAAAGUCUAUGAAGAGGCACUCGCGCUCGCGGUACGCUAAUGAAAAUAUACAGUCUCACAUGGAUAAAAAGGACAACACAACUAGUCGGCGUUCUCGAAAGAGACGCAGUACCGAGAAAAUGAGUGCGACAAUGGAUGAGAGACAGAAAAGACUCGAUGAGAUCGAAAAGCAUCGAACUGAGCGCAUGAAGAGACGGCAAUAUUUGCGCAAGAUGGCGACGCAACAAUUCUACAAAAGCAUGCAAAUGUUACAAGCCAAUGCAAAACACGAAAAAGAUGGGCCGUUUGAGGAUUAUUCGAUUUUCUUAUACCGUCAAACUGCACCAGAUUUCAAGGACAGAGUAAAAGAUCUAGAACAGAAAAUACUCUACCCAGACAGACAACCUAAGAUACACAUCGGUUACGAAAGAGGUAAUGUGGACGAAGAAUUUUCGGGAAGAAUAAAAGAUUUUGAAGAUAAAUUAAAAGGGGCAACAUCUUCAGAGAAAAAACCUAAAGAUCUCUUACGUGCCAUCGGUAAGAUCGAGAAGACGGAUUGGAACGUGAAAGAGAUUGAAAAAAAAAUCGAAGAGAACAAGAUGGGCCGUGGCACUCGUCAUGAUCGCGUAGAGAGAGUGCCAAAGUGGAGUCGCGAGCAGAUGUGUAUAUGUUUCAUUCAGUUUUUAGCUCGGCAGAUCAAGAUGGAGAAACGGGGCAACGAUCAAAGAGACACUUACAGUAAGUACGCUGACAUAGACAAUACCCUGAAGAAUAUAGGCAAGAAGAUCCGAGAGGGUAGCGCGCUCGGACACAAUAAAGUUUCAGCCAUGGCUGAACAAUUUUCGAAUAAAAGUCAGGAUACGGAACCCAAGCUGCAGAAAUCGAAUACUAAAGCCACCAUCGUUCUACCAGUGCAAGGAAGUUCAGAGAUGUGCCAUUUUUGCAAUAAAAGAGUUUAUUUAAUGGAAAGGCUUAGCGCGGAAGGCAAAUUCUUUCACCGUGGUUGUUUUCGAUGUGAAUAUUGCUCCACUUCAUUAAGGAUAGGAAAUCACACGUUUGAUCGCGAAAAAAAUGGAGGGCGCUUUUAUUGUACUCAACACUUUGGAUUAUCGGGAACGAUGAAGACUAGAGCAGAAAAGAAGAGAAUUAAUUUGGUGAAUAAAGAAAAUGUACCCAAUGCCGGGAUUACAUCAAAAACACCAGAAAAGGCUAAAACACCGUUGGAAGGCAUUGUUGGACUUGAUCUUCUCGAUCGUGGUCAAACUCCAGAGAGAAUUGAAUUUGAAAAUCUAGCAGAAAUGUCAGAUCCUGAGGAAGCUCAUAGUCAAAUGGACGAAGACGAGUGGACAGAUAGAAAUUUUGGUGUUUCUACUGCAGAAAUGGGGUCUAGUGAUGAAAUUUCUGAUAUGAGUGAUUCUGAUGAAGAGGACGAAAUAUUUAAGGAAGCUAUAGACCAGCCACUAACAACCGAAGGAACUCUCGAGUUGGCUAAAAAUUGGACACUGCGUUAUUCUUAUCCACACGCUACAAUUGGCCAAUCGGAUACUGGCAGCAACGAAUAUGAAGAUUCUAGUGACGAAUACACUAGUGAAGAUGAUGAAAGCGGCACUGCGACUGAAGAUGAGGAGGACAUCCGCGCUCGAGAACUCCGAAAGCAAGAAGUAUGGUUGAAGGUGCCACCACGCAGCUCCGAUACUGACACUGGCUCGGAAACAGAGGUUGUAUCAUCGGAGGACGCGUCGACUGAAGAGAGCGCAGAAAAUUCUGCGACGGAGAUCUCGACCGAUUCGGAAUUCGAGCACGAUGAAGCGACUCCGACACAGCACGAGAUUCCUGAGAUUACUAUUAAUGACUCGUAUGUGCGGAAAACAAGAGGUACUUAUGUUGAGCCGAAGAAAGUGCAGAUAAAGAGCAAGAUGAUCUCUUCGAUUAACAGCAACAUAAAGCAAGACAAGAAGCAACAGGGUACCAGUAAUGAGCAGCUUAUGAAGGACAACCAAAUUAAAUACGAACCGAGCAAGGAGGUGAACUGCAAUGUGACGGCUUCUGUCGACCCGAAUAGCCGAACACCUUUGCUAAACCCGCGAAAGGGAGAUUAUCUUUUGAAUCGCACUCAUUCCACUGGAGGAAUCGCCUCAAGACUCUCUUUAGAGUUGAAAAAACGUUACUUACUGGGCGGAUCAGUUUUGAGUGGCUCCGUUGUAAAAUCAGGUUCAACGUCAAACGUGGACACGAAGUUAAGGAACUUCACUGACGCGAUCUCUCAGCAUCAAAAAUUGUUAAAUCCAGCGCCUGAGCCCAGUCCUACCAUGCAAGCAUUUCUACAAGGUGCUAAUAAGCUGCGAACCAACAAUGCGCCACUUUCUCCAUUAUCACCUACGAUUUUAUUUUCGCGACAAUUUUCAACCGAUCGCUGCCGAAAUUUAUCAAACGAUAUCGCAUACAAGCCGACAACGCCGAUCGAAAAUCCGUCCAAAGCGCAGCAAUUACCUGACUUGGUAAAGGAGUCCAGUAUCUUGAAAUCAAAGACAGCACCUAACAUCUGUGGUGAGUCUUCGAUAAAAGACAGAGAGUUAAUUGACAAACCAGUGUUUCUACAUCAAACUAAUAAUUUGACCAAGGAUUCCAUAGAGGAUAUGAAAAGCUCACAGAAUACAGAGAAAUUUCUUUUGAGCAACACGGAAGAAACUAAUGGUUUCAGACCGCGUAGUCCUCUUCACGAGACGUCCAUUGUUGUGCCGCAAGUGAAUUGGAACAAGAAGAAAGAAGAUAAAGAUGCCAGUUCGGGUGAUUCUGAGAUAGAUAGCGAUUCGUUAUCUUCGUCCGAUUCUAAUGAAGCGGUCGAGAACGAUCAAUUUGUUGCUAUAAAUCUUUCGCCGCCUAGAUUACAGAUUCACAGUACUGAUGGUGAUCUUCUACUCGACGAGGGAGUUGAUCGAUACAAGCAUUACGAUCCCGACGAUGGUCAGAGUUUCGAGCCAGACUCUAUCGAGGUCUCCUUCUUGCAGGAUCGCCGAUUAGUCGAGUCAUCGAAUGCCGAUUCAUCAGUAGACAACGCACGUACUGUUGAAACGCUGAAUAAUAAUAUGGAACAAUUAGAUUUGCGGGAUGAUAAUAAAAGAGACUGCAACAGUUCUUCCGAAGCUUCGGUGAUGUCUAACAAGCAAGAUGAUUCCGAAGAGAAUGACAUUACCACCGCGGCAUUCACCGAAACAGAGUUCUCCGAAUGGGCUCGCGAUGGUGAAGCUUUAGUCUCGGACGAUCUCCGCGAUGUAGAGCUGGACAUUGAUCCUAAUUUUAUUACUGUACGAAGAAAUAACGCGAAAUUAACUUCCACGCCUGCCAGAAUUGCCAAAGAGGAGGAUACAGAACUUGAAUAUUCUAAGAUCGAUCGGCUAGUCGAUCAUAAAUAUCCAAACAAUAGCACAUCGAAACUAUUGGUCAAUGGUGAGGACAUUAAUUACAUGGAUACAGACAACGAAUCAUUGUUAGAUGACAGUCUCCAAGACGCUUCCAAUAUUGCAAUGUUAAGAAACCGAGGUUACAUCGAAUUCGUAAACGUCAAGACGAUUCUUCCUGAUAUCCCGAAGUGCAAUUUAUCGAUCGCUGAUGCGCCAAUAGCAAGAUUGGAUUUCGAAAAUGAUUUCUACAGCGAGGAAGAGGAAGAAGGCUUCAAGGAUGCCAAUGUGAUCGAGAUUGAUCCUGUCACCAUGGAGGAUGUGAUUGGCAAACUAAACGAGCCCGUUGUGAAUAAUUCAUCAACUAAAUCAGAAAUUCAAAAAGUCGAAGAACAAAGCGAAGAGAAGUUUAAGGAGAGCAUGACGCAAGAGCCGUUGGUAGAAGCUAUUAACAAGGAAUUGUUCCAAUCAAUAGAGGAAGAUAGCUUAUUGGUGAUGGAGCCGGCAGAAGAUACAACAACCAGUGAAGUUGUCACAGUACUCGCCAGUCCGGUUAAUCCUCAGGUAUCUAUAGUUCCUCUAGAAAUGAUGGAAAAGCGCGACGAGCCAGUCAAAGCGGAUUCCAACAACCCAGAUUAUUUAGAAUACGUAAAAAGGCUGCAGUUUAGAAUCGCGGAAUUUAGCAACGCGAAAGAUUCUAUCGACGUAAGAAAAUCGAAGCGGAAGAACUCGAAGAGCAUGGCGCAGACAUAUACUGCGGAAAUAAUUGCCGAAGAGAUCAAAUGUCAGGAAACAACUGCGAAUAACAGUAGUAUCAAUUCACCGGCAACUUCGCGAAAACUUGAAGAGAUCAUCAAAGAGCGGUCGAAGCAGAAGAAUGUUAUUCAGGAUCUCUUGAUGGAUAAGGUUGAGGCUCACAAGCAGAAAUCAGCCGAGAAAAAAGCUCGAAGAGCCGCUAGAGCUUCAUCCUUUACUACAACAAUGUUAUCGCCGAUGAAACAGGAAUCAUCUAAUGUUUCUUCCAUUACAAGUAACAAGUUUGUGCCUGCUUCUAUAAUAUCACUAACAAACAGUCCAGAUGGCACAACUUCCGACGAGGCACACAAAUUGCCGGAUUCUUCAGUGUCUUCACACUCUCGUGAGCAAUGUGUUCAAGUUGAAGCCAAAGAACAAAUUCCAAAGAAGGCCGAUCAGCUAAGCCAAUUGCAGAUGACAGACAAAAGACCGACUAGUCUAGAGGAUCUUUUCAAGACGCCAAUCGCACCGCAAAGAUUUAAGAGCGAAGAAGCAAGGAGAACAGCCGAAAAGGCUAGGCAAGAUGCCAGAGAGCGAGCUAGAUUGAAGAGUGACGAGGAUUUAGGUUUAAGCCCCGAAGAUAGAAUCAAGGAAUUAAGAAUGAAGAUGACACGCAGACAACUUUCGAUGGACGAUGCGAGAAAAGAUGAUACGCCAAAAACUGAAAGAGCUAGAUCGUAUUACUUUAGCGCAGUAGAUAAUUCCGAAUUGAAAUUACAAACUAGUAAGAGUACGGACAAUAUGAAAAGUAUCGCGAAGAAGAUAAAUUUUCAGAAAUUACCAGCGGCUAACGCGAAAUCAAUGGACGAAUUAUUGAAUACUGCAGGUUUAUCGUGUUCGGAUAACAAUAGUGCAAUAAUUAAGAGAGAUAAAAAGAAACCGAAAGAUACAGAGAGAAGAAAGAGUAUUAUACAAGCAGUGUCGGAUUUUUUUUUCAAGAAGGAGUCCACUCCAUCACCUACUCAGAAAGAUAAGCUGUCAAUGUUUCGAUUGACUUCAAAAUCAAGAGGAAAAUUCGACAAAACUGCCUCAUCAAAAUCUGAUACAAGACCUAAAAGUAUGUGCGAAGACAUACUUGUACGAAAUUUUAUUACUGAAAAUUCACCACCCGUGCCACCACCACCACUUAAUUAUUCUAGCACCCAAGUAUCAGAAAUUGCAGAUAAUAGUUUGUCGGAUGAUGAUACAAAAACAGCUGCUUUGUCGACAUCAUAUACACAAAAAGUUACUGCAACUGAAGAAUCAUGCAAUAGCGUUCCACGUAAAUCAAAGUCUGCUAAAAAAGUAUCUAGACAAGCUCAAUUAAAGAGAUUGCGUAUGGCUCAAGAAAUACAGAGAAAAUUGGAGGAAACUGAAGUGAAACAGAAGGAAUUGGAAAGCCGAGGUGUAAGUGUCGAAAAAGCGCUGCGUGGUGAAGGAGAUUGUUCCAAUCAUGAAGAAGCCGAUUUACUUAGGGAAUGGUUUGAUCUUAUGAAGGAACGCACGGAGCUGCGCAGAUAUGAAAAAGAGCUUCUAGUACGUGCACAAGAAGUUCAAUUAGAAGAUCGUCAUGAACGAUUACAACAAGAAUUGCGCGAACGUUUAGCUAAUGAUGAUGAUAAGAAGACCAGUGAUGAUGUUAAAAAGGAAGGAGAAAUCUUGACGGAAAUGUUGGAGAUAGUCGCAAAAAGAGAUUCCUUAAUCGCUCUAUUAGAAGAAGAACGACAAAGUUUUCUUGGUCCGUAAUCUUGAGAAUAUCGUAUACUAGUAUAAAUAAACUGUGUUGUUUCAUUCGAGUGCAAAGAAAUAUUCUACCAAAACACAUUUUGGUAAUAACAUGAUAUACGUUAUAAGAUUUAUUCAUGUAAGGACUACGAUGCUUCAUGUUAUCAUGGACUACAGAUUAAUGAAUCAUAUCAGAACGAAGAUCGCGACCUCGAAGCUCAAAUGUUAGCUAAAGGCCUGAGAUUAACGCCAAUAAAGAAAUGUGGCUCUAAAUAUUCAGUCUAAAAUAUCGGAGUUACGCUUCUGUAUAUAUAUAUUUCUGCUACAAUUUUUUAUUGUAAUACUAUAGAGAAAAGUAUAUAUGUAUAAGAUUGUAAAUAAUUUAAGCUAUUAUCACGUGCGACAUGGAAUUUGAAGAUAGAGGAUUCAUAUAUGCCUAGAACUCUUCUGCCUGUUUUCGAUAUAUUCAAUAUAUGUAAUAAACGUAUCUUUUUUAUACAAAUAUAACUGUUUAUUUUUGACGCAAAAAUAAAUGAACAAAUCGAAGUAUUUA